RNAcentral lists this long non-coding RNA (377 nucleotides) under Homo sapiens (human). Its description in RNAcentral is "non-protein coding lnc-PGPEP1L-12:4". Lineage: Eukaryota; Metazoa; Chordata; Mammalia; Primates; Hominidae. The record is from RNAcentral.
UCCAAUAUAUGGGUCCCAUCCCAUUGUAACACUAAUUGAGAACUUCCCGUCUGGAGGAAAGAAGAGAAUGAAUGACAUGCAACAUUGGACCCUAAACAGAACCAAUGACAAACCUGUGAGCUCACAAGCACACUUCUGGAGAACCUGGCUACCAGAGAAGUGUUACUUCCAAGCUGUAAAAUCACUCAGCAGGUCCCUGCAACUGAUGCAACCUUUACUUUAAGAGAAUAGGAGGACAUCAUGUUCAUAAAGAAACCUUGGAUCUCGAACGUACCUAAAAAGCAGCUUAAAGUCCUUGGAGCAAACAGUACAGCUGAGAAAUGUUACACCAGUUGGGUGUCAAUCCAUAAAACCCGUUCUAGAGAAAAUCGUGGAGG